GACGUAGGGCGCGAGCGUUGUCCGGAUUUAUUGGGCGUAAAGAGCUCGUAUGCGGCUUGUCGCGUCGUCCGUGAAAACCUGCGGCUCAACUGCAGGCUGGCGGUCGAUACGGGCAGGCUGGAGUUCGGUAGGGGAGACUGGAAUUCCUGGUGUAGCGGUGAAAUGCGCAGAUAUCAGGAGGAACACCGGUGGCGAAGGCGGGUCUCUGGGCCGAUACUGACGCUGAGGAGCGAAAGCGUGGGGAGCGAACAGG
This 253-nucleotide ribosomal RNA is filed under the name uncultured bacterium. RNAcentral's name for it is "partial 16S ribosomal RNA". It matches the Rfam family "Bacterial small subunit ribosomal RNA", at positions 524 to 776 of the family's 1533-position model. The record is from RNAcentral.